UACAGAGGUCUCAAGCGUUGUUCGGAUUCAUUGGGCGUAAAGGGUGCGUAGGCGGCGCAGUAAGUCGGGUGUGAAAUCUCGGGGCUUAACUCCGAAACUGCAUUCGAUACUGCCGUGCUUGAGGACUGGAGAGGAGACUGGAAUUUACGGUGUAGCGGUGAAAUGCGUAGAUAUCGUAAGGAAGACCAGUGGCGAAGGCGGGUCUCUGGACAGUUCCUGACGCUGAGGCACGAAGGCCAGGGGAGCAAACGGG
Molecule: ribosomal RNA, 253 nt
Filed under: uncultured bacterium
Lineage: Bacteria
Description: partial 16S ribosomal RNA
Rfam family: Bacterial small subunit ribosomal RNA
Source: RNAcentral